Polyodon spathula (Mississippi paddlefish) is the source of this 136-nucleotide small nucleolar RNA. RefSeq annotates it as small nucleolar RNA SNORA42/SNORA80 family. The record is from RefSeq and is a predicted model, not a curated record. The transcript has a single exon. Lineage: Eukaryota; Metazoa; Chordata; Actinopteri; Acipenseriformes; Polyodontidae.
GCAUGGCUAGAUUUAUGGUAGGAUCCUUUUACAUGAUCCUUUCAUAGUGUACUCCAUGCUAGAUUGAACUCUACUCCGAACCAUUGACAGGCUUUGAUUACUGUAGGUCUGAUUCACUGAAGUGGGUAGCACAGAU